RNAcentral lists this ribosomal RNA (227 nucleotides) under uncultured bacterium. Its description in RNAcentral is "partial 16S ribosomal RNA". It matches the Rfam family "Bacterial small subunit ribosomal RNA", at positions 107 to 334 of the family's 1533-position model. The record is from RNAcentral.
UGAGUAACACGUAUCCAACCUGCCGUCUACUCUUGGACAGCCUUCUGAAAGGAAGAUUAAUACAAGAUGGCAUCAUGAGUCCGCAUGUUCACAUGAUUAAAGGUAUUCCGGUAGACGAUGGGGAUGCGUUCCAUUAGAUAGUAGGCGGGGUAACGACCCACCUAGUCUUCGAUGGAUAGGGGUUCUGAGAGGAAGGUCCCCCACAUUGGAACUGAGACACGGUCCAA